UCGAGAGUUUGAUCCUGGCUCAGAUUGAACGCUGGCGGCAUGCCUUACACAUGCAAGUCGAACGGCAGCACGGGUGCUUGCACCUGGUGGCGAGUGGCGAACGGGUGAGUAAUACAUCGGAACGUACCUUAUCGUGGGGGAUAACGCAGCGAAAGCUGUGCUAAUACCGCAUACGCCCUGAGGGGGAAAGCGGGGGAUCGAAAGACCUCGCGCGAUUAGAGCGGCCGAUGCCUGACUUAGCUUAGGUUGGUA
RNAcentral lists this ribosomal RNA (252 nucleotides) under uncultured Polynucleobacter sp. RNAcentral's name for it is "partial 16S ribosomal RNA". It matches the Rfam family "Bacterial small subunit ribosomal RNA", at positions 1 to 259 of the family's 1533-position model. Lineage: Bacteria; Pseudomonadati; Pseudomonadota; Betaproteobacteria; Burkholderiales; Burkholderiaceae. The record is from RNAcentral.